GACAGAGGGGGCAAGCGUUGUCCGGACUCACUGGGCGUAAAGGGUGCGUAGGCGGUCUCGUGCGUCGGCGUGAAAUCAUACGGCUUAACCGUGUGGCGCGUGCCGAUCGACGGGACUUGAGGCUCUGAGAGGGUGGCGGAACUCCUGGUGUAGUGGUGAAAUGCGUAGAGAUCAGGAAGACACCCGUGGCGCAAGCGGCCAC
This 202-nucleotide ribosomal RNA is filed under the name uncultured bacterium. RNAcentral describes it as "partial 16S ribosomal RNA". It matches the Rfam family "Bacterial small subunit ribosomal RNA", at positions 524 to 728 of the family's 1533-position model. The record is from RNAcentral.